CCUUCGGGCGGCAGCAGUGGGGAAUAUUGCACAAUGGGGGAAACCCUGAUGCAGCGACGCCGCGUGAGUGAUGAAGUAUUUCGGUAUGUAAAGCUCUAUCAGCAGGGAAGAUAAUGACGGUACCUGACUAAGAAGCUCCGGCUAAAUACGUGCCAGCAGCCGCGGUAAUACGUAUGGAGCAAGCGUUAUCCGGAUUUACUGGGUGUAAAGGGAGCGCAGACGGCAGGGCAAGUCUGAUGUGAAAGUCCGGGGCUCAACCCCGGGACUGCAUUGGAAACUGUCCGGCUAGAGUGCAGGAGAGGUAAGUGGAAUUCCUAGUGUAGCGGUGAAAUGCGUAGAUAUUAGGAGGAAUACCGUUAGCGAAGGCGGCAAUCUGGCUGGAAACUGACGCUGAGGUGCGAAAGCGUGGGUAGCAAACAGGAUUAGAUACCCCAGUAGUC
This 440-nucleotide ribosomal RNA is filed under the name uncultured bacterium. Its description in RNAcentral is "partial 16S ribosomal RNA". It matches the Rfam family "Bacterial small subunit ribosomal RNA", at positions 338 to 795 of the family's 1533-position model. The record is from RNAcentral.